UUAGGGGGAGUUCAAGAGUACGUGAAACCGUCCAGGGGUAAACCUGCGAAACUCGAAUGAACGAACGGGGAGAUUCAUCGUCAUUCCUCGGCGCAUCGGCGCAGGUUAGAUGUCUUCGGUCUCGGCCGUGGGCACUGCUCGCGUCGAUCGCGUCCGGGGACGGCGUGCACUUCUCCCUUAGUAAUACAUCGCGACCCGUUCGAUGUCGGUCUAAGUGCCCCCCGGGAGUCUAUUCGCCGUUCGCGCGGCGUUCAGACCGGCGGGUGCACCGACCGGCCGUCGGACGGUAGAUCUGACGAAACGCUCACGCGCUUGCGCGCGUCCGGCCCGACGCAAGGCAACGUCGUAUCCCGCUUCCUGCCCGUGUGCGGACGCGGGUGCGGCGCGCCUGUCGUCGCAGCCGUGCUGUCUCGGACCGUGUGCGUAUCUGUCUGCGAUGAUUCAGUUUCGGGCACUCGCAGGACCCGUCUUGAAACACGGCCAAAA
This 486-nucleotide ribosomal RNA is filed under the name Lycia lapponaria. Its description in RNAcentral is "eukaryotic LSU rRNA". Lineage: Eukaryota; Metazoa; Arthropoda; Insecta; Lepidoptera; Geometridae. The record is from RNAcentral.